UACGAAUUUUGUUGUUUAUUUUCUUGACUUGGCUUGAGUUAUAUGAUGAUGGAUAUGAGUUUUUGAGAUGAUCUAGAUGAUUAAUGAUGGAUGAGAUUGAAGCUUGAGGUUGAGAAGUGAAAAAUGAAAAAUGUUAGUUUGAGGAAGAAGAUGAUAUAUAUGUGUUUCUAUAUGUGAUUUUGUUAUAUGAUGUUGAUUUGAAGAUUUGAGUAGGUAUAUGAGUUCUUGAGCAUGCUAUGAUGUUAAGUGAUGGUUUAGAUUGAUGAUUAGAAGUGAUGAAAUGAGUUUUGGGAUGAGUUGUUGUUGAGAAUUAUGAUGUUAUAUUCAAGUUAGAGAUAUUAUUAAGAUAUAUAAGUUUUAAAUACAAAUUGGAGAAUUUCGUAGGCCUACUGACCUACUGUGAUCGAUGGUUUUUCGAUGUCUAAUAACUUUGAAAAUUUUAUAGCAAGUUUCUACAUGAGUCUUGAGUACCCUGGUAAAAUUUCAAGAUAUUUCAACUUCGUUUGAUAGUUCUUUAAAAUGCAAACCCUAAACUGCACAUUAUUACCGAGAAUUUCAGAGAACAGGGGAACGAUUCAUUCAUUUCAGUAGCUUCCUAUGUGAUCUAGCUUUUCAACUUUUUAUGGUAUUAACCUUAUUGUGUUAGCUAGAUAUCCACCAAAGUUGAGCCCAGUUUGACAACGUUUACUAUUUAUCAAAAAUUGUAACCUUCGGUUGCACAAAACUGCCAGAAAUGGUAGAUCGUGGUAAAAACGUCAUAUCUCUCAAACCACUUGGAGCUUUCGACUCUAUUUUUUUUUAAAUGAAACUAGACUCGAAGAUAUUUCUUUCAGUAUGAGUCUCGAGUCCAGGAGAUGUCGGAGUCAGAACAGUUUAAAUUUUGAAGUUGAACCAGUGUAAAAACAGAGCAUGUUUUAAUGAUGUUUGAUUGUGAUUCUUAUGUGCCUUAUGUGAUUGUGUUGCCUAUGUGUUUGAAUUUUCACUAAAUUAUUUUAGUGAAUUUAAAUCUCUUGAUUUAAAUUUUAAUAUUUAAGGUUGGGACUAUUUAUUUUAAAUGAGGUCCGUUAUUUUAUUUAAUUUAUUGAUGGACUUUAAAAAUGAAAACAAAUUUUGGGAUUAAACCCUCAUUUUUAUAAUAUUUCAAGGCUUUUUGAGUAUGGAUUUUAAAUGGUUAAAAUGUUUUAUUUCAUCUCAAUGGAUUUUAAAAUGUUUUAUUAUUUAUAAAUGAAUAAUGGAAUUUCUUAUUUAUUUACAUGAAAAAAAAAAUGAAAUGUAUAGAAUGUUAUAAAAAUGGUGCAUGAUUUCUUUUAUGUUCAUAUGAACUUGUGAUUUUAAUGAUACUAAACUUGAGGAUUUUAUUUCUUUCUGUUUAUUGUUUACGUGAUUACGUGAUAUUAUGUGGUUAGUCACGAGGUUAUGUUGGUUUUCGAUUGUCUUUAAUGGAACGAAUUAUGGAUGCUAGAACCCUAAAACACUAAAAGAAAAUCGAGUAAGGAUAUUGUUGGUGUCCUUAACUCAAGAAAUUUAGUUUUCAAGUAUUUAUUCAUUAAAUUUGAAAACCCGGCGUGAUGAAUCAAGUAUGUUUAGUACAUCCAUAAAUACAUUAAGAUUAGUUUCAUGAGACCUAUUAAGAAUAGAAUUUCUUGUAGGCUUUGUGACCAGGGGAAUUAGCGCUGCUUUCCCAAGACAGGUUUAUAUGUGAUUAUGAUCUUCAGGCUUUGCCUAACCAGGUUGGCUGGCUGGUGCUGACGGGACGGAGCUGAGGCUAGCGAUAAAUUCCUAUGUUAGACUUCCGCUGUAGCAAUUACUCAUAUCAGUCUUUUGUUUUCUCAACUUAAGAUCUUCAUGUUAAAUUUCAAAUGAUAUAUUUGACCGAGCUUAGACUCUUCACUACUAAAUUUAUGCUAAUGAAUGUCGGUUGUCAGAAGCAUGAAACAAAACUUGUGAUCCAAAGGGGCAUAGCCCGACUUUCUAUCCUAUUUCGGGUUUUUACAAGGUUGUUCCUUGUUUAUUUCUA
Salvia miltiorrhiza (redroot sage) is the source of this 2017-nucleotide long non-coding RNA. RefSeq lists it as uncharacterized. Lineage: Eukaryota; Viridiplantae; Streptophyta; Magnoliopsida; Lamiales; Lamiaceae. The transcript has 2 exons. The record is from RefSeq and is a predicted model, not a curated record.